RNAcentral lists this long non-coding RNA (989 nucleotides) under Ananas comosus (pineapple). RNAcentral describes it as "long non-coding RNA (ACOM_LNC037338)". Lineage: Eukaryota; Viridiplantae; Streptophyta; Magnoliopsida; Poales; Bromeliaceae. The record is from RNAcentral.
GAGUGGCACUCAUGAGCGCUACCCAACCAAGUAUGCAAGUGUGUCUCUACCGAGCUCAAUCAGCAUCUCACAGGCUAUAGUCAAAGAAGAAUAGUCAAGCCACCAAAACUCACGUGUCCUCGGCAUAAUCUGAUGCAAAAACAGCAAACUGGGUCCACCGUCAACCUCAACGGCACCCGACAGUCCGGAACAGCCUAAACACUGCUGUAAAAAUAAGCUCGGCAUCCCAGCAGGAGUGUAAAUGCAUUCUACACUAUUCUGAAUAUCCACCGUCUACAAACUGCGGCGAUACAAAUAAAUUACAGCUCCUAGAGCUAAAUCUGGUAGUUUCAGAAUAUGACGGUGUAGAAUCGAUAGUUUUCUCCUAAUUCAAUUCUAAGUCCAACAUAUAUAAUUUAGCUAAUAUUCUAAGCUCCAAUUCAGAUUUAAAAGCAUGCAAAUUCAAGAAUCGAACUACUAAACAUGCUAAACAGAGCUAAAAACGCAUGCUAUCAAUGUAUAGAAUUAGGAGGAAAUCCGUAGAAUUCGGUAAGUAUAACCUUAAUCCACCUCAAAUGCUAAUUUUCAAUGGCAAGAAGUCGAUAGGAGAAGAAAUCCCGCUCUCGCCCGGCCUCCAACGGCGCUACCACGACGCACGUAGGCUCAACCGGCUCUCCGGCGCAAAGUCGACGUCGAUCUGAGCUCCAACCGUGACCUCCACCAUGUACGACUCAAGCUAGAGAGAGAGGAAAUUAGAGAAGUGAAAUUCUUCUACUAAUUGAGUUAAUACGUGUACUCAUAAAUGGAGUUGAUAAGUAUGGGGAUAGGUGGAAUCUUUAUCCACCACAAAAAAUGACCAUCCUACCUUCACCAACUCAAACCAAGGAUACUACAUCUUAGGAGGAUAAAAUAGUUUUCUAAAUAUUUUUUAUUAAUUUUACUAUAAAUUUUAUUUUAAAAUUGUUUUUAUAUUUGUUAAAAUAUUAAAAUUUAUUAAACAAAAUAUAAGU